This 399-nucleotide ribosomal RNA is filed under the name uncultured bacterium. Its description in RNAcentral is "bacterial SSU rRNA". It matches the Rfam family "Bacterial small subunit ribosomal RNA", at positions 64 to 507 of the family's 1533-position model. The record is from RNAcentral.
GAACGCUCGUAGCAAUACGGGGGUGGCAGACGGGUGAGUAACGCGUGGGAACAUACCCUCCGGUUCGGAAUAGCUCAGGGAAACUUGGAUUAAUACCGGAUACGGCCGAGAGGCGAAAGAUUUAUCGCCGGAGGAUUGGCCCGCGUUCGAUUAGCUAGUUGGUGAGGUAACGGCUCACCAAGGCGAUGAUCGAUAGCUGGUCUGAGAGGAUGAUCAGCCACAUUGGGACUGAGACACGGCCCAAACUCCUACGGGAGGCAGCAGUGGGGAAUAUUGGACAAUGGGCGCAAGCCUGAUCCAGCCAUGCCGCGUGAGUGAUGAAGGCCUUAGGGUUGUAACGCUCUUUCGCUCGGGACGAUAAUGACGGUACCGAGAUAAGAAGCCCCGGCUAACUUCGUG